Molecule: ribosomal RNA, 549 nt
Filed under: Exserohilum turcicum
Lineage: Eukaryota; Fungi; Ascomycota; Dothideomycetes; Pleosporales; Pleosporaceae
Description: eukaryotic LSU rRNA
Rfam family: 5.8S ribosomal RNA (bases 167-320)
Source: RNAcentral
GGUUAAGAAUGAGGUAGGGUACUGGCAACAGUGCUCUGCUGAAUAUUUUCACCCAUGUCUUUUGCGCACUUUUUGUUUCCUGGGCGAGUUUGCUCGCCACCAGGACCCCCAUAUGAACCUUUUUUGUUUUUGCACUCAGCGUCAGUACAAUAAUUUAAUCUAUUAAAACUUUCAACAACGGAUCUCUUGGUUCUGGCAUCGAUGAAGAACGCAGCGAAAUGCGAUACGUAGUGUGAAUUGCAGAAUUCAGUGAAUCAUCGAAUCUUUGAACGCACAUUGCGCCCUUUGGUAUUCCAAAGGGCAUGCCUGUUCGAGCGUCAUUUGUACCCUCAAGCUUUGCUUGGUGUUGGGCGUCUUAUUGUCUCUCCGUCUCGGGGAGACUCGCCUUAAAACAAUUGGCAGCCGGCCUACUGGUUUCGGAGCGCAGCACAAAUUUGCGCUUGCAAUCAGCCAAGGGCGGCAUCCAUGAAGCCUUUUUUCUCUCACAUUUUGACCUCGGAUCAGGUAGGGAUACCCGCUGGACUUAAGCAUAUCAAAAAGCGGAGAGAA